AGAGUAGGUGAAAUCGAAAUGAGG
RNAcentral lists this non-coding RNA (24 nucleotides) under Arabidopsis thaliana (thale cress). The record is from RNAcentral. Lineage: Eukaryota; Viridiplantae; Streptophyta; Magnoliopsida; Brassicales; Brassicaceae.